RNAcentral lists this ribosomal RNA (501 nucleotides) under uncultured bacterium. RNAcentral describes it as "partial 16S ribosomal RNA". It matches the Rfam family "Bacterial small subunit ribosomal RNA", at positions 29 to 523 of the family's 1533-position model. The record is from RNAcentral.
AUUGAACGCUGGCGGCAUGCCUUACACAUGCAAGUCGAACGGCAGCACGGGUGCUUGCACCUGGUGGCGAGUGGCGAACGGGUGAGUAAUACAUCGGAACGUACCUUAUCGUGGGGGAUGACGCAGCGAAAGCUGUGCUAAUACCGCAUACGCCCUGAGGGGGAAAGCGGGGGAUCGCAAGACCUCGCGCGAUUAGAGCGGCCGAUGCCUGAUUAGCUUGGUGGUGGGGUAAAAGCCCACCAAGGCGACGAUCAGUAGCUGGUCUGAGAGGACGAUCAGCCACACUGGGACUGAGACACGGCCCAGACUCCUACGGGAGGCAGCAGUGGGGAAUUUUGGACAAUGGGGGCAACCCUGAUCCAGCAAUGCCGCGUGAGUGAAGAAGGCCUUCGGGUUGUAAAGCUCUUUUGUCAGGGAAGAAACACCGGCUCUAACACAGUCUGGGAAUGACGGUACCUGAAGAAUAAGCACCGGCUAACUACGUGCCAGCCGCCGCGGUAA